UGCUAAGUUCUUUUCCUGGAUGGCCAUC
RNAcentral lists this non-coding RNA (28 nucleotides) under Mus musculus (house mouse). The record is from RNAcentral. Lineage: Eukaryota; Metazoa; Chordata; Mammalia; Rodentia; Muridae.